CUUACAUCGGAAUCUCAUUACUUGGGUGGGACUGCCAAGAUGAAUAGACAUAAUCCUCGAUCUAACCACUUCACAGUUUAUCAUCGGAGUCAAGUUUGCAGAUAAACAAUUGCCAUGCAACUUUCAAGACAGUUGUUCAUCUGCUUCCAGAAAAUGGUGCCUGAGAUGAGCAAGGUCAGCAGACAAGAAGUGAGGUCAAUGUCAGGUUUCCAUGCCAGCAGCGGGAACUCUGGAUACAGUGGAGAGUCACAGCUGGUCAAACCCUGAACCGCUUGCUCCUUGAAAUGGCCAGAGAGGCCCAUCCCAGAGCCAUCUCAUCAUCUCUCCUCAGACAGGAAACCGAGAAGGAAAACAAUCAGCUCUGUUCUCUCUGGGCCGAGGGAGUGAGCUGUAAUGAGGGAGCACAGGAACGCAUUGGGCGCCCUCAGACCUGAACACACAGGUUAGCACCACCUGCCUGGCUGACCUGGCUCACAGUUGAGAAUAACUCAUCCAGGGUUGUUGAAUGGUGGAGGAUCUUCCAAAAUCAGCAGCUAGGAGGUCGAGAACCCUUCAUGCCAUACUAAGAAGUUUCAUGCUAGGCAAAGAAGAGUGACAAGGUAUUUCAACAGGUGAAUGAUGUGAGUAAAUAUUUGCUUCAAAAAAGUGUAUUGUAAAAAACCAUGUGAGAAGAAAUGGGAACACUAGCAAUGACCUUUGAAGAAUUAUACCUUUGUAUCUGGG
This 723-nucleotide long non-coding RNA is filed under the name Homo sapiens (human). RNAcentral's name for it is "HSALNT0102225". The record is from RNAcentral. Lineage: Eukaryota; Metazoa; Chordata; Mammalia; Primates; Hominidae.